AAUGGAGGAAACUCUGAUGCAGCGAUGCCGCGUGAGUGAAGAAGGCCUUUGGGUUGUAAAGCUCUUUCGUCGGGGAAGAAAAUGACUGUACCCGAAUAAGAAGGUCCGGCUAACUUCGUGCCAGCAGCCGCGGUAAUACGAAGGGACCUAGCGUAGUUCGGAAUUACUGGGCUUAAAGAGUUCGUAGGUGGUCGAAAAAGUUGGUGGUGAAAUCCCAGAGCUUAACUCUGGAACUGCCAUCAAAACUUUUCAGCUAGAGUUUGAUAGAGGAAAGCAGAAUUUCUAGUGUAGAGGUGAAAUUCGUAGAUAUUAGAAAGAAUACCAAUUGCGAAGGCAGCUUUCUGGAUCAUUACUGACACUGAGGAACGAAGGCAUGGGUAGCGAAGAGGAUU
This 392-nucleotide ribosomal RNA is filed under the name uncultured Gammaproteobacteria bacterium. Its description in RNAcentral is "bacterial SSU rRNA". It matches the Rfam family "Bacterial small subunit ribosomal RNA", at positions 370 to 779 of the family's 1533-position model. Lineage: Bacteria; Pseudomonadati; Pseudomonadota; Gammaproteobacteria. The record is from RNAcentral.